Molecule: ribosomal RNA, 252 nt
Filed under: uncultured bacterium
Lineage: Bacteria
Description: partial 16S ribosomal RNA
Rfam family: Bacterial small subunit ribosomal RNA
Source: RNAcentral
UACGUAGGGUGCAAGCGUUGUCCGGAAUCAUUGGGCGUAAAGCGCGUGUAGGCGGUCCGAUCAGUCGGCUGUGAAAGUCCAGGGCUCAACCCUGGGAUGCCGGUCGAUACUGUCGGACUAGAGUCCGGAAGAGGCGAGUGGAAUUCCCGGUGUAGCGGUGAAAUGCGCAGAUAUCGGGAGGAACACCAAUGGCGAAGGCAGCUCGCUGGGACGGUACUGACGCUGAGACGCGAAAGCGUGGGGAGCAACAGG